GCAAGGUGGCACAGGAACGAUGAGAGGCUAUGGCUUAUGUGUCAAAGUGCCUUGCUUCUUUGGGGGAAAUGAUGUGUGGCCCUCCUAGAUCGAGCGGCCGUUGUCAGUGGGUGAGAAGAAGAAUUCCCAUGGUGUUUUGUGGCUUCCCAGGGGCUGACGGUAGCUGUCGGGGAGAGGGAGCUCCUGCGUCAGCGGAGCAGAGAGCAUCUCAAGGGCGUUCCGGCUUGGAUGUGGGUCGGGCGUAAUGCUUGGUUUACGGUGCUUAGAUGGCAGAGCAGGCCUAGCUGGGCUCUCGAUGGGCUUGCUACCUGGGAACAAGGCCUGUGGAAUGGCUAAGCUAUUGCUGUUCAUUGAGGGGACUUGUUUGAUAUUUUGGCAGAUGCCGAGGGAGGAGUCGUGCAGGGCGACGGAGGAGGGCCGAGGAUAGCGCUGUAAGCAGGUGGUGGUCGAGCUUGAACAUGGCAGUUGGAACUGAUGGCGUCCAGGUGCCGCAAUCAGCCUUCAGAGGGGAGACGACGCAUGGCGACGAGGGGUCCGAGAAGACUGUGUGCGGCUGCCUUUGGGACUGGAUGCGCGUUUGAGGGGCCACAAGGGAGGACAACAGUGUGAGUUGGGCACGGCCACAGAGCAAGUGAGCAGAGCAGCUGGGCGCAUCUGAGGUAGACGGAUGCAGCGGCCUAGGUCUUUGUAGAGUGAUGGGAUGCUGACUGACAGGGCUGUUGUGUGGGGCUUGUGAUAGUUUUUGUUUUUUUCAGAUGACGAAGAGGCAGCUGGUGACUGGAGGAGUGACGUGUGCUUGUCCUCCAGAAGGAAGGGAAGAGGGAGAGACUCGGCCCCUUGAAAGCUAAGUUGAGGCAACGGUGCUGGGGAAGGGGUUGGGGGAGCGAGGGGGGGCACGGUUGGCUGUGGCAGGAAGGGGUUCUAAAGAGAGCGUAGGGGAGAGGGUUGUCUAGGAAGCGGUCCCCUUUGAGCAGGGGAAUGGAGCGGGUUCCUCUGAAAUAUGACAGUAGUGUGCCCUGGGCAGGGCGGUUCCAGGCUGUGCGUGUCGUUGUGUAGUGCGUCUGUGUGUUGGGUGUGUUUGACCUUCCUCGGGUCUCGGGUGUUCUUUGUUCCGCAGGAUCGAGGCAGGUGCCUCGGCAGCGUUAGUAGGGCCCGGCGAGGCCCUAGUCGUGGGCACGGCGCCCAUCGGGCGCUUCUCUUUUGGCGUCGCAAGCUUCC
Non-coding RNA from Phalacrocorax carbo (great cormorant), 1218 nucleotides. Lineage: Eukaryota; Metazoa; Chordata; Aves; Suliformes; Phalacrocoracidae. The record is from RefSeq and is a predicted model, not a curated record.